Molecule: unclassified non-coding RNA, 273 nt
Filed under: fungal sp.
Lineage: Eukaryota; Fungi
Description: partial internal transcribed spacer region
Rfam family: Eukaryotic small subunit ribosomal RNA (bases 1-46)
Source: RNAcentral
AAGUCGUAACAAGGUUUCCGUAGGUGAACCUGCGGAAGGAUCAUUAUUGAAAACUAUUCUAAUAGUUCUCAAUUAAAACCCCUUUGUUUUUAUACCAUGUUGCUUCCACUGGACAGGCUAAGCUUGUUACAUCAGGUGAAGCCCCCCAGAUUGUGUCUUUGGCACUCUCUGGGGAGCUGCCGGUGGGUAAAACCUAUAAACCUUGUUUAAACCUAUUUGUCUGAUAAAUAUUGAAAUAAAAUAAAACUUUCAACAACGGAUCUCUAGGCUCUU